CUGCACUAGCCGGGGAGCCAGCGGUGCCCUGUAACCCGCAAACCGCUACAGCGGGGGUGAAUUCCCGUCCCAGGGGAGCUGAUGUGUUGUCUGCCCGAAGCAAGUAGUGUUGACAGUCCGGUCUCGCGCAACGGAUGCCCGUGAACCAUGUCAGGCGGGGAACCGAGCAGCAUUAAGCGGGUUUCUCCGUGUGCCGCGAGGCAGCCGGACUCGAGCCAACUACUUCGGUAACGGAUGGAUUAGACUUCUCGAAGAUAGGUGUGCAG
This 266-nucleotide signal recognition particle RNA is filed under the name Oscillospiraceae bacterium. Its description in RNAcentral is "signal recognition particle sRNA large type". It matches the Rfam family "Bacterial large signal recognition particle RNA". Rfam says of the family: The signal recognition particle (SRP) is a universally conserved ribonucleoprotein involved in the co-translational targeting of proteins to membranes. Archaeal SRP consists of a 7S RNA and homologues of the eukaryotic SRP19 and SRP54 proteins. The record is from RNAcentral. Lineage: Bacteria; Bacillati; Bacillota; Clostridia; Eubacteriales; Oscillospiraceae.